UGCAAGUCGAGCGGAUGACAGGAGCUUGCUCCUGAAUUCAGCGGCGGACGGGUGAGUAAUGCCUAGGAAUCUGCCUGGUAGUGGGGGACAACGUUUCGAAAGGAACGCUAAUACCGCAUACGUCCUACGGGAGAAAGCAGGGGACCUUCGGGCCUUGCGCUAUCAGAUGAGCCUAGGUCGGAUUAGCUAGUUGGUGAGGUAAUGGCUCACCAAGGCGACGAUCCGUAACUGGUCUGAGAGGAUGAUCAGUCACACUGGAACUGAGACACGGUCCAGACUCCUACGGGAGGCAGCAGUGGGGAAUAUUGGACAAUGGGCGAAAGCCUGAUCCAGCCAUGCCGCGUGUGUGAAGAAGGUCUUCGGAUUGUAAAGCACUUUAAGUUGGGAGGAAGGGCAUUAACCUAAUACGUUAGUGUUUUGACGUUACCGACAGAAUAAGCACCGGCUAACUNUGUGCCAGCAGCCGCGGUAAUACAGAGGGUGCAAGCGUUAAUCGGAAUUACUGGGCGUAAAGCGCGCGUAGGUGGUUUGUUAAGUUGGAUGUGAAAGCCCCGGGCUCAACCUGGGAACUGCAUUCAAAACUGACAAGCUAGAGUAUGGUAGAGGGUGGUGGAAUUUCCUGG
Molecule: ribosomal RNA, 623 nt
Filed under: Pseudomonas sp.
Lineage: Bacteria; Pseudomonadati; Pseudomonadota; Gammaproteobacteria; Pseudomonadales; Pseudomonadaceae
Description: bacterial SSU rRNA
Rfam family: Bacterial small subunit ribosomal RNA
Source: RNAcentral